GCAAGUCGAACGAGAUUCUAUUCUUCGGAAUAGAUGAAAGUGGCGCACGGGUGCGUAACGCGUAUGCAACCUACCCUUAACAGGGGGAUAGCCCAGAGAAAUUUGGAUUAAUACCCCAUAGUACUACAAGAUGGCAUCUAAAAGUAGUUAAAGAUUUAUCGGUUAAGGAUGGGCAUGCGUGACAUUAGAUAGUUGGUGAGGUAACGGCUCACCAAGGCAACGAUGUCUAGGGGUUCUGAGAGGGGGAUC
This 249-nucleotide ribosomal RNA is filed under the name uncultured bacterium. Its description in RNAcentral is "partial 16S ribosomal RNA". It matches the Rfam family "Bacterial small subunit ribosomal RNA", at positions 57 to 305 of the family's 1533-position model. The record is from RNAcentral.